This 440-nucleotide ribosomal RNA is filed under the name uncultured bacterium. RNAcentral describes it as "partial 16S ribosomal RNA". It matches the Rfam family "Bacterial small subunit ribosomal RNA", at positions 338 to 795 of the family's 1533-position model. The record is from RNAcentral.
CCUACGGGGGGCAGCAGUGGGGAAUAUUGCACAAUGGGGGAAACCCUGAUGCAGCGACGCCGCGUGAGUGAAGAAGUAUCUCGGUACGUAAAGCUCUAUCAGCAGGGAAGAAAAUGACGGUACCUGACUAAGAAGCCCCGGCUAACUACGUGCCAGCAGCCGCGGUAAUACGGAGGGGGCAAGCGUUAUCCGGAUUUACUGGGGGUAAAGGGAGCGUAGACGGCAGCACAAGUCUGGAGGGAAAUCCCGGGGCUUAACUCCGGAACUGCUUGGGAAACUGGGCGGCUGGAGUGCAGGAGGGGUAAGCGGAAUUCCUGGUGUAGCGGUGAAAUGCGUAGAUAUUAGGAGGAACACCGGUGGCGAAGGCGGCUUACUGGACUGUAACUGACGUUGAGGCUCGAAAGCGUGGGGAGCAAACAGGAUUAGAUACCCGUGUAGUC